RNAcentral lists this ribosomal RNA (446 nucleotides) under uncultured bacterium. RNAcentral describes it as "bacterial SSU rRNA". It matches the Rfam family "Bacterial small subunit ribosomal RNA", at positions 958 to 1397 of the family's 1533-position model. The record is from RNAcentral.
AACGCGAAGAACCUUACCUGGGCUUGACUAGCUAGGAUUAUUCCCGAGAAACCGGGAUAGGCCCUUCGGGGUACAACUAGUACAGGUGCUGCAUGGCUGUCGUCAGCUCGUGUCGUGAGAUGUCGGGUUAAGUCCCUUAACGAGCGAAACCUUUGCCCUUAGUUACCAGCGGGUUAUGCCGGGGACUCUAAGGGGACUGCCGGUGUCAAACCGGAGGAAGGUGGAGAUGACGUCAAGUCCUCAUGGCCUUUAUGCCCAGGGCCACACACGUGCUACAAUGGGGUGGAUAAAGCGAACCUAAAGUGCAAGCUCAUGGAAAUCGCAAAAAUCACCCCCCAGUUCAGAUCGGAGGCUGCAACUCGCCUCCGUGAAGUUGGAAUCGCUAGUAAUCGCGGAUCAGCUACGCCGCGGUGAAUGUGUUCCCGGGCCUUGUACACACCGAUAGC